AAUUUAUCAAGAGCGCGGGGAGAGUUUUGGCUCAAUGAACCGCCAGCAGCCUAUUAACAAAAGGUGUUAAUGUGGUGCUAAAUCCAUCCUCGUCCUCCGAAGCUUCGUGCGAAGGAAGACCGAACGGGGAAAGAUAAAAU
RNAcentral lists this non-coding RNA (140 nucleotides) under Candidatus Parcubacteria bacterium. RNAcentral's name for it is "Parcubacteria bacterium SAM-I sequence". It matches the Rfam family "SAM riboswitch aptamer (S box leader)". Rfam says of the family: The SAM riboswitch is found upstream of a number of genes which code for proteins involved in methionine or cysteine biosynthesis in Gram-positive bacteria. The SAM riboswitch acts at the level of transcription termination control. Lineage: Bacteria; Candidatus Parcubacteria. The record is from RNAcentral.